This 468-nucleotide ribosomal RNA is filed under the name uncultured bacterium. RNAcentral describes it as "partial 16S ribosomal RNA". It matches the Rfam family "Bacterial small subunit ribosomal RNA", at positions 28 to 507 of the family's 1533-position model. The record is from RNAcentral.
GACGAACGCUGGCGGCGUGCUUAACACAUGCAAGUCGAACGGAAAGGCCCUGCUUUUGUGGGGUGCUCGAGUGGCGAACGGGUGAGUAACACGUGAGUAACCUGCCCUUGACUUUGGGAUAACUUCAGGAAACUGGGGCUAAUACCGGAUAGGAGCUCCUGCUGCAUGGUGGGGGUUGGAAAGUUUCGGCGGUUGGGGAUGGACUCGCGGCUUAUCAGCUUGUUGGUGGGGGAGUGGCUUACCAAGGCUUUGACGGGUAGCCGGCCUGAGAGGGUGACCGGCCACAUUGGGCCUGAGAUACGGCCCAGACUCCUACGGGAGGCAGCAGUGGGGAAUAUUGCACAAUGGGCGGAAGCCUGAUGCAGCAACGCCGCGUGCGGGAUGACGGCCUUCGGGUUUUAAACCGCUUUCGCCUGUGACGAAGCGUGAGUGACGGUAAUGGGUAAAGAAGCACCGGCUAACUACGUG